RNAcentral lists this ribosomal RNA (618 nucleotides) under uncultured bacterium. Its description in RNAcentral is "bacterial SSU rRNA". It matches the Rfam family "Bacterial small subunit ribosomal RNA", at positions 784 to 1402 of the family's 1533-position model. The record is from RNAcentral.
ACCUUGGUAGUCCACGCCGUAAACGAUGUCGACUUGGAGGUUGUGCCCUUGAGGCGUGGCUUCCGGAGCUAACGCGUUAAGUCGACCGCCUGGGGAGUACGCCGGCAACGGUAAAACUCAAAGGAAUUGACGGGGACCCGCACAAGCGGUGGAGCAUGUGGUUUAAUUCGAUGCAACGCGAAGAACCUUACCUGCCCUUGACAUUGACAGAACCCUUUAGAGAUAGAGGGGUGCCUUCGGGCCUGGAAAACAGGUGCUGCAUGGCUGUCGUCAGCUCGUGUCGUGAGAUGUUGGGUUAAGUCCCGCAACGAGCGCAACCCUUAUCCUUAGUUGCCAGCGGUUCGGCCGGGAACUCUAGGGAGACUGCCAGCGACAAGCUGGAGGAAGGCGGGGACGACGUCAAGUCAUCAUGGCCCUUAUGGGCAGGGCUACACACGUGCUACAAUGGCCGGUACAGAGGGCUGCAAACCCGCGGGGGGGAGCCAAUCUCAGAAAGCCGGUCGUAGUCCGGAUCGGAGUCUGCAACUCGACUCCGUGAAGUCGGAAUCGCUAGUAAUCGCGAAUCAGCAUUGUCGCGGUGAAUACGUUCCCGGGUCUUGUACACACCGCCCGUAAGCC